RNAcentral lists this ribosomal RNA (484 nucleotides) under uncultured bacterium. Its description in RNAcentral is "partial 16S ribosomal RNA". It matches the Rfam family "Bacterial small subunit ribosomal RNA", at positions 30 to 507 of the family's 1533-position model. The record is from RNAcentral.
AUUGAACGCUGGCGGCAGGCCUAACACAUGCAAGUCGAGCGGAUGAAGGGAGCUUGCUCCUGGAUUCAGCGGCGGACGGGUGAGUAAUGCCUAGGAAUCUGCCUGGUAGUGGGGGAUAACGUCCGGAAACGGGCGCUAAUACCGCAUACGUCCUGAGGGAGAAAGUGGGGGAUCUUCGGACCUCACGCUAUCAGAUGAGACUAGGACGGAUUAGCUAGUUGGUGGGGUAAAGGCCUACCAAGGCGACGAUCCGUAACUGGUCUGAGAGGAUGAUCAGCCACACUGGAACUGAGACACGGUCCAGACUCCUACGGGAGGCAGCAGUGGGGAAUCUUGGACAAUGGGCGAAAGCCUGAUCCAGCAAUGCCGCGUGUGUGAAGAAGGUCUUCGGAUUGUAAAGCACUUUUAGUUGGGAGGAAGGGCAGUAAGUUAAUACCUUGCUGUUUUGACGUUACCAAAAGAGAAAGCACCGGCUAACUACGUG